Molecule: long non-coding RNA, 3492 nt
Organism: Hordeum vulgare subsp. vulgare (domesticated barley)
Lineage: Eukaryota; Viridiplantae; Streptophyta; Magnoliopsida; Poales; Poaceae
Exons: 4
Source: RefSeq, a predicted model, not a curated record
CCGACAACCGGCGAGCUCCCCACUCCCAGACUCGUCGGCGACCUUCCGGCCUCCGCCUUCUACGCCACCCUUCUCUCCCUACACCCCAGAUCGAAUCCAGCAGCUCAGGACGAAACCCUAGCUCGAUGCCAUGGCCACACCAGCAGCAGUCCCUCCCUCCCUAGCCCGCGGCCAUGGCGACCUAGCAGGCAAGAGGAACCUGAACCCUAUCACCGGCCAUGGCGAGCGUGGAAGGCACCAUGGGAGAGGAGGCAUGUGCUGCUGCUCAAGACCCUAAACCAGAAAGGAAGCUCUUCCUCACCUCACCUUUUCUCUCUCCCUGAUCGAGCACCUUCGCCAUGGGAGAGGAAGGUUGUUUCAUCCGCCUGCUGUACUGCUGCUCUAGGGGACAUGCACCUGCUUGUUGUGCUGCUGCUCUGUACGCCAUGGACAUCCCUCCUCUGGUUCUCCUCGCUCGUCAAGGUAGUAAGCUGCUCUAACCCAUCUUCCCCUCUCAAAUUCGGUACAAGAAAAUGAUUUUUGUAACUGGACAUCAAAAGCAGAACCGGUGUGUGUUGUUGGUCAAGCAAGAAGAAAGAAAAAAGGCAUCCGUUGCCUGCAAAACAAAUCUGUGUGUGUGCUGCUCUCCUCCUCCUCUGUUUUUGCUUGUGUCAAUUUGCUCCAACAGCUUGCGCGCGUGUGUGCAUCCAUUGGGAGAGAGAGAGGCUCUUGCCAACACCUCUACAAUCUCACCGGAGUUCUAUUUUUCUGUGAUGUUGCCUAUUUUGUUGUUGAAAUUGACCGUAUCCCUGUGUCAAAUGGAUAUUUUUUCCUCCAUUGAAAUGAAGCAUAUUGCUUUUGAGUGCUCACAUUGACAUUACUGUGGAAUAAAAUGUUCAUUAUAUGCUCUUCUGUUGAAUAACGUGUAAAACAGGUCCAGCCAUUUGCCAAGUCUAUUAUAUUUGUUCUAAAAGAAAAGAAAAAAAAAACAGGUUCUUGCCUAUCUAUAGUAUAUGUGUUUUCAAAAAAGCUGUAUCUUUUUCUUCGAGAGAGAUGCACUUCUGUAUCAACAUUCUUUUUAAAAAGUGACACAUGUCUAUCCAAAAUUUUGAACUUCAUGGCCUCGUAUAAUUUCUUGAGUUGGUGAAAGUAAUUGCCGGAUACUGAGAGUAACCACAACAGAUAAAUAUGUCAUCAAACCACCAUGUUCUACCCCAUUUUGGAGGAACAAGAUUAAAGUCAUACCAGCAGAAUUAACUACAUGAAAGGUCCAUCCUUUUCAGGAAAAACCCACCGUGCAGCCCUACGAGCAAGUUCAUGAGCAGAAGGAUUGAGCUCAAUCAAUAAAUUUGAAUACUGGCUAGGCACACAUCCACACGGAAACCAGUACUAGAUCGAACAGUAUUGACCAUGGGUUCAGGUUGACAAUGGUCAUAAACCUCUCAUCACUUUGGUAUGUUGAUUGACCUCUUUUUUGCACUGCAUGUGCAGGUGCUAAACAUUGGUACGUGUUGGUGGGGCUCGACAAGCUCACCCAGGGAGGGCACCCCCAAGCUGAACUCCAUGGAGCCCCGCUCCAGCGUCUAGGACAGGUCUUUGUUACUGGAUCCAUUACUAGGACAUGAUUUCUUCUUUUCCUUCUCCAUUUGAGAUCAACAUUCGUUAUGUCCUUCUUGUGCAGCAGCAGCAGGAUUCCAUCGGUACACGAGAUGACAAGGGGUUCAUCGAGGUGUGUGGUGGUAGGCUCUUUCGUUGGACCCGCUGCCUGUUCGGCAUCGGCUCCAUAACAGUCAUGAACCAACUAGCCUGUCCUUCCAUUUGUGGUAUUGAUGGCCAUGGACCACGGUUCUAGUAGUCGGCAAAGCACGUAUCUACUAACUGCUCCUAUCCAGGAUGCGUGCAAAAGGUUCCCCUGGAGGUUGGGGCACACCGUGGAUGGCUUAAACCCGCCCUUCUUCAGUUACAUUCUAGAUUGUGGUGCUGAUCUCAGUCAGGAAAAGGAAGAGAACAUUAUUGUUCUUCAUCUGUCCGUGAAGAAAGGUACUAGCAACUGCUACUACAACCUAGUACAAGAACUUCCUUUUAUCACACUUGCUGCUGCUUUUUACUAGAAUUGUCACAUAUGAGUUGCCAUUUGUUAUUUUCGUUUUGUUUUGGGGGCCUGCUAUAUUAUAAAUACCAAGUUAUACCUGAGUUUUUGUCAAAGUAUUACUUGAAAGUACAAAUGAAUUUUGAAUGAGUGGAAAACUUAGUAGUAGGCUCAUUUUAUUAGUUUUCUUCAGUACGAUCAUGCCUUGUUUUCGUAUCAUUUUGUUUAUGUUGGCAGAAUUAUUGCACAUAAUUAUAGUUCACAUAUGAUGUUGCAUUCGGAAAUCGAUUUGAACUCAUUGAGAUGCUCAAGGAGUCACAAACACUCGUCUUGCAAUGCAAGCACUUGUGCUGAUGACCAUCCAUCCUUGGUACAUUUAAUUACAUGGCAAUUUCUAGGAUUCUGGGUUGCGCUGAUGGUCUCUAAUGCAAGCACUUGUGCUUCUCGUGGUGAUUAUGGUAAAAUAAUUAGUGGAUUUAGCCCUCAAUUUUAGUCCUAUGAGUUUUUGUCUUUUGCCGGGUAUUGUGUUGCAUGCGCUGGAGUGUUUCCCUUGUCGACGUGCUGGGUAAUGUGUGUGCUGGUUGCAGUUGGUCCUUGGUUGAUCUCCAUGCCAGUGGUUGGAAUGUUUUGGCUGUGUGAUAUGUGUGAUGGUUUACCAGGCUUUGUUAUAAAGAAGCCCCUUAUGGCAUGUCCUCUAAAACACUAUAACUCUGAUUCGUCUACUAGUGAUGACAUGGUUGUUUGAUUCCUAGGGUUGUUAUCAAAUUCUGGCAUGUUCUGUCCUAUGUACCCUAACAGUGCAUUCCUGAUAUCAAUCGUUCCUAUGAUCAUGUACAGUUCAUUUGGUCAUUUUCACUGUUGCUUGAUCAUCUAUUGUUGCUCGAUUGUCUAAAUCUUCUUGAUUUGGAAAGCUAGACAUGCUAUUUCCUAACUGCUAGCUCCAUAACAGAACAUGUAUUUCUUUUCACUCAUUCAUGACUCUCAUUUUAAUGGGUUUUGUCAAUGAAACAAUGCAAGAUAGGAGUGGGAUCACUGAAUUGUUUUACAUAGAUUAGAUGACCGGCCGAUUGCUAUUUUGUUGUGUGCAUGUUUACUGGACACAUACAUUACACUUUUUUUAGCUUGCUCAUUAUAGACUGGACAUUGGUCAUGUGGAAGGACUAGCAGACGGAUGGCUGCUUGCCCAUCCUAGCAAACAUGGUGAGCUUCCCCCCUCCUCCACAUCUGCAUAGCACGCACAGUUUGUAUGUUUUGGUUUUCUCGCGUGAUUUGAGAACAAAGGCGCAAGCAUGGUUCAAAGUAGACUACUCUCCUCUGCUGGUAUGGUCACUCGGUUCUGAACUUUAAAUUGUAUAUAAUCUUAAAGUGGAGUAAUCCCCUGUAUCAAAUCUGACUUCACCAUGAUUUGAGUGGAAUAAUAAGAA